GGCCGCGAAUUCGCCCUUGUGCCAAGCAGCCGCGGUAAUUCCAGCUCCAAUAGCGUAUACUAAAGUUGCUGCAGUUAAAACGUUCGUAGUUGGCAUUAUACAGUUUGUCUUCUUCAACUGGAGAAGACGACUGUAGUCUCACUGUCCAUGAAUAAAGCGUACCGAUCAAGGUAGUUAGCUGAUAGCAUGGUAACUGUGAACCUAUAAGGUAGGAGUGGUGGGAGAUUACUACAUUCGUUGGCCAGAGGUGAAAUUCUAUGACUCGGCGAAGGUAAACUGAAGCGCAAGCGGUAGUCUAUGACACAUCCGGUGAUCAAGAACGUAAGUUAGGGGAUCGAAGACGAUUAGAUAACGUCGUAGUCUUAACUGUAAACUAUGUCGACCCAGUGGUGGAGUGUUUAGGCUCUUCAUUGCUGUGAGAGAAAUCAGAGUAUCCGGAUUCUGGGGGGAGUACGGUCGCAAGGCUGAAACUUAAAGGAAUUGACGGAAGGGCACCACCAGGGGUGGAGCUUGCGGCUUAAUUUGAUUCAACACGGGAAAACUUACCAGGGCCAUACGCGGGUAUGAACGACAGGAUGAUGGACCUUUCGUGAUUCUGCGGGUGGUGGUGCAUGGCCGUUCUUAGUUGGUGGAGUGAUUUGUCUGGUUUAUUCCGAUAACGAACGAAACCCUAACCAGACUAUUGCGACCUUCGGGUUUAUUAGUCGGGACUACGUACCUAAAGUACGGGGAA
RNAcentral lists this ribosomal RNA (733 nucleotides) under uncultured eukaryote. RNAcentral describes it as "bacterial SSU rRNA". It matches the Rfam family "Eukaryotic small subunit ribosomal RNA", at positions 553 to 1442 of the family's 1831-position model. The record is from RNAcentral.